AGAGUCGACCAGGCAGUCGCUGUGUCCAUUGGACGCAGAGGAAAGUCCGGGCUCCACAGGGCAAGGCGCCAGGUAACGCCUGGGGGGCGCAAGCCCACGGAAAGUGCCGCAGAAAAUAUACCGCCUAAGCACUUAGGUGCCGGUAAGGGUGAAAUGGUGCGGUAAGAGCGCACCGCGCCGGUGGUAACACCGGUGGCAGGGUAAACCCCGCCUGGAGCAAGACCAAAUAGGGGAACGAGCAUUUGCGAUGCGUGGCCCGCGCAGUUCCCGGGUAGGUUGCUCGAGGUACACGGCGACGUGUAUCCCAGAUGAAUGACUGUCCGCGACAGAACCCGGCUUACCGGUCGGCUCUCCAC
RNAcentral lists this RNase P RNA (356 nucleotides) under Gammaproteobacteria bacterium. RNAcentral's name for it is "RNase P RNA component class A". It matches the Rfam family "Bacterial RNase P class A". Rfam says of the family: Ribonuclease P (RNase P) is a ubiquitous endoribonuclease, found in archaea, bacteria and eukarya as well as chloroplasts and mitochondria. Its best characterised activity is the generation of mature 5'-ends of tRNAs by cleaving the 5'-leader elements of precursor-tRNAs. Lineage: Bacteria; Pseudomonadati; Pseudomonadota; Gammaproteobacteria. The record is from RNAcentral.